RNAcentral lists this ribosomal RNA (305 nucleotides) under uncultured bacterium. RNAcentral describes it as "bacterial SSU rRNA". It matches the Rfam family "Bacterial small subunit ribosomal RNA", at positions 338 to 660 of the family's 1533-position model. The record is from RNAcentral.
CCUACGGGGGGCAGCAGUGGGGAAUAUUGGACAAUGGGGGAAACCCUGAUCCAGCGACGCCGCGUGAGUGAAGAAGUAUUUCGGUACGUAAAGCUCUAUCAGCAGGAAAGAAAAUGACGGUACCUGACUAAGAAGCCCCGGCUAACUACGUGCCAGCAGCCGCGGUAAUACGUAGGGGGCAAGCGUUAUCCGGAUUUACUGGGUGUAAAGGGAGCGUAGACGGUAUGGCAAGUCUGAAGUGAAAGCCCAGGGCUUAACCCUGGGACUGCUUUGGAAACUGUUAGACUAGAGUGCUGGAGAGGCAA